AUUGAACGCUGGCGGCAGGCUUAACACAUGCAAGUCGAGCGGGGUGAUGGUGCUUGCACUAUCACUUAGCGGCGGACGGGCGAGUAAUGCUUAGGAAUCUGCCUAUUAGUGGGGGACAACGUCUCGAAAGGGAUGCUAAUACCGCAUACGUCCUACGGGAGAAAGCAGGGGAUCACUUGUGACCUUGCGCUAAUAGAUGAGCCUAAGUCGGAUUAGCUAGUUGGUGGGGUAAAGGCCUACCAAGGCGACGAUCUGUAGCGGGUCUGAGAGGAUGAUCCGCCACACUGGGACUGAGACACGGCCCGUACUCCUACGGGAGGCAGCAGUGGGGAAUAUUGGACAAUGGGGGGAACCCUGAUCCAGCCAUGCCGCGUGUGUGAAGAAGGCCUUAUGGUUGUAAAGCACUUUAAGCGAGGAGGAGGCUCUUUUGGUUAAUACCCAAGAUGAGUGGACGUUACUCGCAGAAUAAGCACCGGCUAACUCUGUGCCAGCCGCCGCGGUAA
Molecule: ribosomal RNA, 503 nt
Filed under: uncultured bacterium
Lineage: Bacteria
Description: partial 16S ribosomal RNA
Rfam family: Bacterial small subunit ribosomal RNA
Source: RNAcentral